ACAAGGAGCUAUGGGACUGGGGCGGCUCCUGGAAAGCAACUGCUUGUCCCAAGCCCAGGAUUUUCAAGAGUGGAGGCUCCAGAACAGGGCCAGGGAAAAAGGAACACAUCAGAAUUGAACAGAAAGAUUUGGAUCUGCCUUCAGGAGAGGAGCUGGGAAGAGCUGCACCAUCCAUGUGAGACCAGUGGGCACAAACCAGGGUUCAUCUCUCCCCUCUCCUGGGUCUCCAAUUCCUUGUGGCUGUGGAGAUGCCUCCUCCAAGGUGAGGCAUCUCUCCUGGCUGCAGCAACAGAUUUGGAGCCAGCAGCUCUCACAGGUUCCCCACAGAGCCAGCAGGGGUUAAAAGUGCAACAAAACAGCCCAAAGUCCACACGGGAGGAGGAAGAGGAGGAGGAGAAACGACGGAGAGAUGAGUGGGCAGCCUCCCCCAGCCUGGAAGAUGUGGAGCUUCUCAGCAUCAGGCAGGAAGAGCCGGGCAUCCUCCAGCGCCCCAUGUGCUGCCAUGGUGAAGUUGGUGUCCCCUGAGGUCACCACAUCGAAGACACACGACUGGAAGUAGACAUCCUCCACGGGCAGCAUCUCCCGGCAGAGCGCUCGCGCUGUCUCCGCAGGGACACGGCCGCGCCCGCGGGGGCUGCGGGACAUGCGCUGGCUGUGGGGGCAACCACCCACGCACAGCUGCAGGUCCUGCUCCUCCGUGAAGGCCCGGGCCACCUCCUCGGCAGCACGGAUGGAGAAGGAGAGUUGGCGGCCGGCCUGGCGCACAGCGAUGGUGGUGCCGAUGUAGUCGGCACGGAUCUCCACGUGCCGGCCAGGGCUGCGCUCCCAGAUCACGAGGCUGCUUCCACCCGGACGCAUGCCCCCGUUCACGGAGCCAUCCUGGAAGGCCGCCGGGACGUUGUCCAGCUCGGCCUGGUAGACCUUCUGGUCAAUGCAUUCCUUCAUGUUCUUGAAUAUGAUGCACCAUUUAAGCAAUGGAAAACUCAGGUGGAGCCAAACCCAGCAAGAUUCCUCCAGGUACCCCAUGGACCACACGGUCACCUGACAGCAACAGGAGUGUUUGAAGGUCCCCUCAACAACCUUCCCCACUGUUGUCCCUCCUUCUUCAUCCCCCCUGGGUUUCGUUGAAGUAGUUCCAAGGAUUUUGGGAAGUGUAGGAGGUGCCCUGACUCUGGAUUUGCUGCCCAGCCUGUGCACCAAUGUUACC
Long non-coding RNA from Corvus hawaiiensis (hawaiian crow), 1207 nucleotides. RefSeq lists it as uncharacterized. The record is from RefSeq and is a predicted model, not a curated record. Lineage: Eukaryota; Metazoa; Chordata; Aves; Passeriformes; Corvidae. The transcript has 3 exons.